RNAcentral lists this ribosomal RNA (568 nucleotides) under Epicoccum huancayense. RNAcentral's name for it is "eukaryotic LSU rRNA". It matches the Rfam family "Eukaryotic large subunit ribosomal RNA", at positions 38 to 609 of the family's 3401-position model. Lineage: Eukaryota; Fungi; Ascomycota; Dothideomycetes; Pleosporales; Didymellaceae. The record is from RNAcentral.
GCAUAUCAAUAAGCGGAGGAAAAGAAACCAACAGGGAUUGCCCUAGUAACGGCGAGUGAAGCGGCAACAGCUCAAAUUUGAAAUCUGGCGUCUUUGGCGUCCGAGUUGUAAUUUGCAGAGGGCGCUUUGGCAUUGGCAGCGGUCCAAGUUCCUUGGAACAGGACGUCACAGAGGGUGAGAAUCCCGUACGUGGUCGCUAGCCUUUACCGUGUAAAGCCCCUUCGACGAGUCGAGUUGUUUGGGAAUGCAGCUCUAAAUGGGAGGUAAAUUUCUUCUAAAGCUAAAUACUGGCCAGAGACCGAUAGCGCACAAGUAGAGUGAUCGAAAGAUGAAAAGCACUUUGGAAAGAGAGUUAAAAAGCACGUGAAAUUGUUGAAAGGGAAGCGCUUGCAGCCAGACUUGCCUGUAGUUGCUCAUCCGGGUUUCUACCCGGUGCACUCUUCUAUAGGCAGGCCAGCAUCAGUUUGGGCGGUUAGAUAAAGGUCUCUGUCAUGUACCUCCUUUCGGGGAGAACUUAUAGGGGAGACGACAUGUAACCAGCCUGGACUGAGGUCCGCGCAUCUGCUAG